GUGUUCCCUGAGUCACGCAACAGCUAUAUAGUAGCUCCGCAGACCAACAGCAGGCCGACAGCGUAGCACCUGAGUUCUAGAUCUACCACUGUUCAUGCGGGACCUGGCAUAAAGCAUUCCCACGUCUCGGCCUCCAUUUCCCCAUCUGUGAAACGAGAGCACUGGUCAGCUCUUCACAUGCAGCGUUUGUGGGAUGAAUCCUUCCAUCUGUCCAUCCAUCCCGCCAACAUCCAUGCACAAACAUUUAGCACCUGCUGCAUGCUGUCAGGGACUAUGGCAGGAAAAGAGUUGAAACAGACACGUCCCAGGCCUCCAGCCCCUCACACCACGGAGAGGAAACAGAUGCCCGCAAAGGAGGAGGCACCCCUCAGGGGGCCAGCGCUGCGACACGGUGGAGGCAGGGAGGCCGUCUCUAAGCAGCCUGCGAGUCCCCGCGCUGCACCGUGGCUUUGAGGAGUGGCGGGGGCCGAGGGGCCGGUCUCUCUUCCGGGGGAGAUUCCUCCCCUCACCCCGGCAUUACUCAGCGCCCUGAACUGUCUGCCUCCCUCCAGCCGGCCCUCCUCGUCUUCCUGGAGCGCAGCACAAAGGUCCUGUUGUGGCCGCGGCCCGGGCCGCGGGCGAGCCUCUCUGGAUGGUGGUGACUCAGUCUCUUGCCAUUUCCUUUGUGCGGCUCCGGGGCUCCUCGCUGGGAGCGGAGUGUGUCUGCAGGGCUGGGGGCGGGAGCCGGGACCCACAGCCCGACAGCGAGCCUUUCAUGUGGGCAGGGGGCUUCCCGCACGCAAUGCGAACCUACGCCUGGAGCUUCCCAAAGACAGCGUCCGGCGCAGGAACGCGAGAUGCUGGCCGCCUCGCCUCUGGCCCCCGCGAGCAUCAAAGCGCGUGCCGUCGAGGGGGCACGUGUCCCCCAUCGGGCGCGCCUCUGCUCCUAGUCCCCUGAAUGAACACAUCCUUAUGAAAAGUGGAAAUUAGCCGCCGAAGGGAAGGGCCCGGAGAGCUUGGGAAGCGACCUAGGCUGCCAGCCUCCCGGCGGGUCUUUGGUCCCAGCUCUGAUGACCUGUCAGCAGCCGCAGGACCUGCGCUUAAAGGCGCCUCUCCAGGCCUGGCUCAGGGUGGGGCUCCUCGUGCUCAGCACCCUGGUCAAGGUUAGGGCUGGGUGUGCGCUGGAGGCUUGGAGUGCCAGGGCACCCAGUGAAGAGCGAAUGAAUGAACGAGUGAACACCGGACUGGGGGCCUGCAGACGGUUCUUCGCAGGUUAAUUAGAAGGCCUCUAGCAAGCUGCAGCGGAGGCAUUUCAGGCAUCCUUCAGAGAGGACCCUCGGCCUGGCUCCUAAGGGCCCCUGGUCUGGCUCUCACCCCCUGCUCUGGUGGCAUUUCUGCUCACUCAGCCUUUACCCUUUACACGCCAGCCGCUCUGAACAGUUUAUUCUUCUGGGAGCACAUCAUGUUCUUGCUCACAUCCAGGUUUUGCGUAAGCUGUUCCUGCUGCAAGGAAAACCCUUCCUGUGUCCUCCUCAGGUGAGAGCUCCCGCAGGCAGCUUCUCCCCGGAGUCUGGCGUAAGUGUUCCUCCUCUGCACGCCUCUGAGGACAUUUGCAAAGGCAACUCCUGUGCAUCUGUAGGUACCAUUGUGAGGUUACUGCCCUGGACUGGGGAGAGAUCCACACACGCAAGAGUGCAUCUGGCAUCAGUAUGUAAGAGUCAAAACUGACACACAGUUCUUCAUCUCAUGGAAAUGAAAACAUGCAUGGCCGGAAUGAUCUUAUACCUGCUUCUCUUGGGCCAGGUCACCAGGCUGGCCCUGAGAAGUAUGUGAUGGCAUGGAGAAGAAUCCUCACACAUCCUUGCAGUUCUCUAGGAUUUGCAAGGCAUUCCCCCCAUUGCUGGACUCACUGGAUUUGAGUAGGCCUGUCUGCCCCUAUUUUAGAGAUGAGCAUAUACACCUUACAAAAACUGAGUCUUGCUCAAUGUCUGGCAAAGAAGUCUUCCUUUAUCCAACAAUCCUGAGAGUCUAGCGGGUGUUGGGCACCAUAAAGAUGAAUGAGGUGCGGUUCUUGCCACCAGGCAGUGCCCGGGCUUGUCAGGGAGACCCAUGUGGAGCAUGACAAUUGCUACCUUCUUGAUACGGGCAAAAGGAUGUUGAGUCCAGUGGAAGGAGAGGCUUGUCUGGCUGUGAGAUCAGCAAAGUCUUCACAGAAAAGGAGAAUUUUAAAUGGGGCCUUGAAGGGGAAGUGUCUCCUGGAGAUGGAGAGAACAUAGCGAGGAGAGUGCGGUGAGGUGGGGGGUGGCAGGGGAAGCACAUCACUACGCGGUGCUUAGGGCCGAGUCUGAGCCAACCUGGGAGUGGCACUCAGCUCCCCCAGGCCCCCGAGAUGCAUGUUCAGCAGCAUCCAGCGGCCUCCUGUGAAGCGACUGGGAGUCCACAGAGACAACAAAAGCAGAUGUAGUGAUGUGUAAACUUGAAGUUUCUAGAAGUUCCUUUGGGCCCCACCAAAUCUCUGUGGCAAUGAACCAAUCCCACAUGUUCCUGUGGGUAAUGCUCCCAGAGGGCAUGUGACUUUGGGCAUCAUUAUUGGCUGAAAAAGGAAACUGGGGUAGUAGUUAGAGAGUGCUAUGAACUGAAUGUUGUGUGCCUCCCAAAUCUGUACACUGAACUCCAAAUCCCACUGUGGUGGUAUUAGGUGAGGGGGCCUUGGGAGGUCAUUAGGUCCUGAGGGUAAAUCCCUCAUGAAUGGGAUGAGUGCCCUCACACAUGAGACCCCAGAGAGCUCUCUGGCGGUCUUUCUACCAUGUAUGGCUGCAAUGAGAGGUCUGCAGCCUGCACCUGGAAGGAGGCCCUCAAUGAACCUGACCAGACUAGCAUCCUGUUCUCAGACUUCUGGCCUCCCAAACUGUGAGAAACAAGUUUCUGUUGUGUAUAAACCAUCCAAUCUAUGAUAGUUUGUUAUAGUAGCCAAACCGACUAGGACAGAGAGGAUGUAAGGAGCCAGUGGAGGACUCUUUUAAUGGAGAGACUACAGCAUGUCUCAGGCUGAAUGGUCCAGUAGGGAGAGCAAAAACAGUGCCCAUGCAUCACCCUGAGGUCUCACCCAACCCUGCUGGAACUGACUUUAGUGCCCUCUUCCAGUGUUCCCCGCAUGACCUGGUGGGUGCACACCUGGCUGCUUGCAUUCACACCGUCCCUCUCCACUUCUUCCUUCUCCCCAGCUCUCUUCCUGUCAACCCUGGCAUUGCCUUUGUUGGCUACUGAGAGAAGACCAGAAAUAUCCAUCUAGUCAGACUUGCCUGCUCCUGGGAAGAAAACAAAAAUGCAAAGAAAAGGUUCUCAGGGAGAUUGAGCCAACCUGGGAGUGGCCCUCAGCUCCUCCAGUCCCCAGAGACCCAUGCUCUGCAGCAUCCAAGGGGCUCCUGUGAAACUGUUGGGAGGCCAAUGACACUCUGUCCCACGUUGUGGAUCUAUUUUGUGGUCUCUGUAUCCUUCACUGCUUUUUGUGGACAUUAUUGUAUUAGAUUCCUUUGGAAAUGAUGAUCCAGCUAAUGGCCAGUUAGUAGGAAACAUCACGACCCUCCCCCCAAAUUCCAGCCUCUUGCUGAAAGGGUGGGGCCUGGGAAAUCAUAUGGUAUUGCUCCUGGUCACCACAGACCAGUGGUGGCUUUGGGCCAAAUUCUGGCCCAGCCAAUCCCCCCCACCUUUUUUUUUUUUUGAGAGAGAGAAUUUGAGGUAAGAGACACAGAGACUCAGGUUAGGAGGAUGCUUGAACUGAAAGGUCCUGAGACAGCAGGACAGGAGCUAGUACCAUGCAGAACACAGCAGGAGCCACAGGCAAGCCUGAACUGUGGGAGAGAGAAAACGAAGGGCCUUCCAGAGAGGUCCAGUCUGCCAAGAGGAGAAGAGAGUUGACACGCAGAAAGAGUUAGGGGUGACAAGAACCCCCGUAGCCCCUUGAAGGACACAGAGAGGAGAUCUUUUUUGUUCUUUUGUGAUUCAUCCUUUCUCACUUCCUGUCCUUGGAGGUCAACAACAGACCCCUGUAUCCUUUUAAUAAUCCCUCUUUUCAUUUGAAAUUGUUCCAGAGGGUACCUGAUCCUUGUUGCCAGCAUGCCCUGAAUAAGAAAAAUGCUCAAACCAAACACUGAGUCUACUGAGUCUAUGUGAAUUAAUUCUUGGAAUUCCUUGGCUCAAUUCAAUAAACAUUUCAUGCACAAUUUUUGUGUGCCAGGUGCUAGAGGCAUUCUGAGAAAAACUGAGACCCAGGAGCUGUCCUCAGAGAGUCCAGUAAGAUGUGGUCUGAUAAGACAUGUUUCCAUAUACCCAGAAUACAAGGUAGUUUGCUAGGAGCACUGCAAGAGAAACGCAGAUGGAAGGCUGGAGUGUGUACUGCCACUGUGGAAGCAGGAGGGGCUUGAGGGAAGAGGGCCUUCAAGAAUGGGUGGAAUCUAAUAUUGGAAAGGGGAGGAAGAGUGGAAAGUAUAAGAAUCAGAAGUCUGGUUGCAGGAUGGGGCAUGAUAUGGGUGGGACACUGUAAACUGCACAGCGUGGAAGGAAUAUGGAGUUUAGAGGAAUAAUGUUAGAUGAGUCUGUAAGACGGGCUUGACUGGGAUUAUGAAGGGCCUUAAAGGUCAAGCCAAAUUUGUUAUCAUAGAAUCAUAAGAAGGAGAAGAGCCUUAGCUGUUGUCUAGUCUAACUUAGGUAAUUUGGUUCCAGUUCCUCUUAAGGUGGCCACCAUGACAGACUGAAUCUCAAGUACUCAUCUGAGAUACAGUCAUUUCAAUGGUAGUGACUCAGAAUUUACUUUUCUUUUUUUUUACCCCAGCAAAAUAUUUAUUUUAGAAAAUAGGAUUAUAUUAUUUGUUGCUCUCCAACUUGCUUUUUUUGGACAUCUUGGACAUCUUUCUCUACCAGUACAUAUAGUUCCAUUUCCUUCUUUUUAUUUUAUUUACUUUAUUAUUUUUGUAGAGAUGAGGUCUUGCCAUGUUGCCUAGGCUGGUCUGGAACUCCUGGGCUCAAGAGAUCCACUCACCUUGGCCUCCCAAAGUGCUAGGAUUACAGGCGUGAGCCACUGCAGAUAUUUUUAUUUUUUAUUUUCAUUUAUUUCAAUAGUUUUUGGGGAGCACGUGGUUAUUUGAUUACAUGGAUAAGUUCUUUAGUGGUGAUUACCGAGAUUUUGGUGCACCCAUCACCCAAGCAGUGUACACUGUACCCAAUGAGUAGUCUUUUAUCCCUCGUCCUCCUUCCCCGCUCCCCUCACGUCCCCAAAGUACAUUGUAUCUUAUGCCUUUGCAUCCUCAUGAGAUUACUUUUCUAUCUUUAACAACUUAAGAGUUCUUUCCAGAAGAGUCCUCUUACUACGAGGAAGAGUGUUAGAGCACAGGGAACUGGGCCUAGAGAGUCUGCAGCAAAUUGUCUCAAAUAGCAGCUUAAAAAGGUAAGGAACAGAAAAGAAACACUCUCUAUCUAUGUGCUGGCCUCAGGCACAGUGCUUCUAGAUGGUAGAACAUCUGUGAAGUAGAAAUUACAAUCACUUUUCAGGUGAGAAAACAGGAGCUGUAGGGAGGAGUCGGACAGGUCCCCAGGCCCAGCAACUAUACCAGGUGAGGCAGGAAUGUGGCCUCGUGUUGACCAGAUUCCACAGCCACGGGCUUCCAUCCCUCUUCUCUGCUUGCUUUAAGACUAACCACCCUGGCUUCAA
Molecule: long non-coding RNA, 5686 nt
Filed under: Homo sapiens (human)
Lineage: Eukaryota; Metazoa; Chordata; Mammalia; Primates; Hominidae
Description: HSALNT0066566
Source: RNAcentral